Molecule: ribosomal RNA, 206 nt
Filed under: uncultured bacterium
Lineage: Bacteria
Description: partial 16S ribosomal RNA
Rfam family: Bacterial small subunit ribosomal RNA
Source: RNAcentral
CACGCAGGCGGUUUGCUCAGUCCUUUGUGAAAGCCCGGGGCUCAACCCCGGAAUUGCAUGGGAUACUGGCAGACUUGAGACUGGUAGAGGCUAGCGGAAUUCCUGGUGUAGCGGUGGAAUGCGUAGAUAUCAGGAAGAACACCUGUGGCGAAGGCGGCUAGCUGGGCCAGUUCUGACGCUCAUGUGCGAAAGCGUGGGAGCAAACA